Molecule: transfer RNA, 69 nt
Filed under: Rattus norvegicus (Norway rat)
Lineage: Eukaryota; Metazoa; Chordata; Mammalia; Rodentia; Muridae
Rfam family: tRNA
About the family: Transfer RNA (tRNA) molecules are approximately 80 nucleotides in length. Their secondary structure includes four short double-helical elements and three loops (D, anti-codon, and T loops).
Source: Rfam by way of RNAcentral
GGGGAUUUAGCUCAGAGGUAGAGCACUUGCCUAGGAAGCGCAAGGCCCUGGGUUCGAUCCCCAGCUCCG